This 429-nucleotide ribosomal RNA is filed under the name uncultured Luteolibacter sp. Its description in RNAcentral is "bacterial SSU rRNA". It matches the Rfam family "Bacterial small subunit ribosomal RNA", at positions 355 to 776 of the family's 1533-position model. The record is from RNAcentral. Lineage: Bacteria; Pseudomonadati; Verrucomicrobiota; Verrucomicrobiia; Verrucomicrobiales; Verrucomicrobiaceae.
UCGAGAAUAAUUCACAAUGGGGGCAACCCUGAUGGUGCAACGCCGCGUGGAGGAUGACGGUCUUCGGAUUGUAAACUCCUGUCAUCCGGGAGUAAGACCUGGCUGUGAAUAGCAGACAGGGUUGAUAGUACCGGAAGAGGAAGGGACGGCUAACUUCGUGCCAGCAGCCGCGGUAAUACGAAGGUCCCGAGCGUUGUUCGGAAUCACUGGGCGUAAAGGGAGCGUAGGCGGCGUGGUAAGUCAGAUGUGAAAUCCCGGGGCUCAACCCCGGAACUGCAUCCGAUACUGCCGUGCUAGAGGAUUGGAGAGGUAGCUGGAAUUCUUGGUGUAGCAGUGAAAUGCGUGGAUAUCAAGAGGAACACUCGUGGCGAAAGCGAGCUACUGGACAACUCCUGACGCUGAGGCUCGAAGGCCAGGGUAGCGAAAGGG